RNAcentral lists this ribosomal RNA (427 nucleotides) under Reticulitermes virginicus (dark southern subterranean termite). Its description in RNAcentral is "partial 16S ribosomal RNA". It matches the Rfam family "Bacterial large subunit ribosomal RNA", at positions 1797 to 2485 of the family's 2925-position model. The record is from RNAcentral. Lineage: Eukaryota; Metazoa; Arthropoda; Insecta; Blattodea; Rhinotermitidae.
CGCCUGUUUAUCAAAAACAUCUUUUCUUGUUAGUUUUUGAAGUAUGGCCUGCCCGCUGACUUUGGUGUUGAAGGGCCGCGGUAUUUUGACCGUGCAAAGGUAGCAUAGUCAUUAGUUCUUUAAUUGUGAUCUGGUAUGAAUGGCUUGACGAGGCAUGGGCUGUCUUAAUUUUGAAUUGUUUNUUGAAUUUGGUCUUUGAGUUAAAAUUCUUAGAUGUUUUUAUGGGACGAGAAGACCCUAUAGAGUUUGACAUUUAUUAUGGUCUCUUUCUUGUUUGUGAGGGUUCACUGGGCCAUUUAAUGUGUUUUGUUGGGGUGAUGGGAGGGAUAUAAUUUAACCCCUCCUUUGUNUUGUUAUAUUUAUUUAUAUUUGUUUGAUCCAUUUAUUUUGAUUGUAAGAUUAAAUUACCUUAGGGAUAACAGCGUAA